CAUAUAAACGCCCUUCACACUUCGCGUCUGUGGCUGCUCGUUGUUUGGCCAAAAAGGUUGGCAGGAAAAGAAGGGGGCUAAUAAAAGCGGUUGUUGAUAUUUAAAAUAGAUAUAACGAAAAUGCUUUGAUGUUUUGACUUCUUUCUCUUCAGCUUGUCUGAUUCGACCACUGCUGGGAGGAAAGUAACAGCAGGAGAGCAAGGGGAAAGGGAAGAAAGAAAGAAAAAAGAAAAGAAAAGAAAAGAAAACAAGACUGCAAUGGUGUUGGUAGAAGGGAGCAGCCUCAGGGGCUUCCGAUUAGAAUCCAGAUGUCCAUGAGCAGCU
RNAcentral lists this small RNA (324 nucleotides) under Histoplasma capsulatum var. duboisii H88. Its description in RNAcentral is "Histoplasma capsulatum H88 hypothetical RNA". The record is from RNAcentral. Lineage: Eukaryota; Fungi; Ascomycota; Eurotiomycetes; Onygenales; Ajellomycetaceae.